ACGUUGAAUGGUGUUCGGUGAAGGACAUUCUUGUACUUACCCACAAGGCUUCGAUAUUAAUAGCAUAGCAUUUAUAUUGUAGUUAUAUAUUGUAAACAUAUUUCCGCUUUAUGCCGAUAAAGAACUAAUGUAUGUUGUACAGGAUCCAGGAUCCCCAAAUUUCAGCUGCUCCUCGUGUAGUCACCAUUCUGUCACCAACUGGGGCCAUCUGGAGCACUUUCAGUGCCACAGAUGUACGGAUACGUGGGCAUACAUCAUCGGGUAAUAAUGCCGACCAUCAAUACAUCCAUUCCAUAUCCUCUGACAAGCCACGCCGCCGUAUCCUCGAAGGCCUCCAGUCCUCAUCCGUAACCUCAUCAUCCCUCGAUCCCCAACAAUCCAUGCAUGACUGACCCCCUUUUUUGAACCGCGUUUCGUGCGCGUGACACCUGAUGUUAUUUUACGAUUAUUGUUUCUGGAUUUAUGGAACGCAAUUGCAUUUGCAGCACGGCAGGUGUUGUUGCUGGAUUGCUGCCGGUUUUGCUGCUCUUGCCGCUGCGGAAAUUCCCAUUUCGCCAUUGCACAAUUAAAAGUUGCGAAUCCUUUGG
This is a non-coding RNA of Drosophila melanogaster (fruit fly), 587 nucleotides long. The record is from Ensembl. Lineage: Eukaryota; Metazoa; Arthropoda; Insecta; Diptera; Drosophilidae.